AUGACAAUGAGGAGGAAUCAGAUGAAGUGGAGGAUAACGACAAUGACUCUGAAAUGGAGAGGCCUGUAAAUAGAGGAGGCAGCCGAAGUCGCAGAGUUAGCUUAAGUGAUGGCAGCGAUAGUGAAAGCAGUUCUGCUUCUUCACCCCUACAUCACGAACCUCCACCGCCCUUAUUAAAAACCAACAACAACCAGAUCGUGAACCUUAUAGAAGAAACUGGACACUUUCAUAUCACAAACACAACAUUUGAUUUUGAUCUUUGCUCGCUGGACAAAACCACAGUCCGCAAACUACAGAGUUACCUGGAAACAUCUGGAACAUCCUGAGGAUAUGAAAACUGGAUGCAUCAAGAACAAUUGUAUUUUUUUUUUGUUUUUUUUUUUUGGUUGUGAUUUUUUGUUGUUGUUGUUUAUAUGAAAACACUCAAAAUGAUGCAACCAAAAGGGAAAAAAUAAAAAUCAAACAACCUUC
This 471-nucleotide small RNA is filed under the name Pongo abelii (Sumatran orangutan). Its description in RNAcentral is "processed transcript". The record is from RNAcentral. Lineage: Eukaryota; Metazoa; Chordata; Mammalia; Primates; Hominidae.